This is a long non-coding RNA of Mauremys reevesii (Reeves's turtle), 399 nucleotides long. RefSeq lists it as uncharacterized. Lineage: Eukaryota; Metazoa; Chordata; Testudines; Geoemydidae. The record is from RefSeq and is a predicted model, not a curated record. The transcript is spliced from 5 exons.
UUGAAUUCUCGUACAAACUGGAGUUCCUUGGCUACAUGCUGGACUUCAUUAAACAGGAACCACUGGAUUCUCUGGCAUCUCAGUUCGCUACCAGGCGAUUCUUGCCAUUGGACAUCUGAGCAAGCUCAAACCAUCUCUGACCAUGGAGGAAAACCAUGAGCUCCUGGAUCAGUGCUUCAAAGUUUAUUUCCCCUUCCUCCCUUGGAGAUGACGAAAGAGGAAGGCGAGACAGCAGAGGAUGCUCUGCAUAUACAAUCACUCUACGUGAGGUCCUUUGAAGCUCUUGGCAAGCUAAUGGAGACAUUGCUGGAGGAAGCACCAACCGCAGACUGGUUCCAGGAAAUGUUUGAUCUCCUAAGGACAUGGUUCAGUUCAGGGAAGGAGUGGGAGAGAAAGGGC